RNAcentral lists this ribosomal RNA (326 nucleotides) under uncultured eukaryote. RNAcentral's name for it is "partial 18S ribosomal RNA". It matches the Rfam family "Eukaryotic small subunit ribosomal RNA", at positions 1470 to 1796 of the family's 1831-position model. The record is from RNAcentral.
CCCUUAGAUGUUCUGGGCCGCACGCGCGCUACACUGAUGCAUUCAACGAGCCUAGCCUUGACCGAGAGGUCCGGGUAAUCUUUGAAACUGCAUCGUGAUGGGGCUGGAUUAUUGCAAUUAUUAAUCUUCAACGAGGAAUGCCUAGUAAGCGUGAUUCAUCAAAUCGCGUUGAUUACGUCCCUGCCCUUUGUACACACCGCCCGUCGCUCCUACCGAUUGAGUGUGUUGGUGAGGAGUUCGGAUUGGCUCUUAGUGGUGGUUCGCCACCACCUAGAGCUGAGAAGUUCUCCAAACCGCCCCACUUAGAGGAAGGAGAAGUCGUAACA